Long non-coding RNA from Sinocyclocheilus anshuiensis, 1591 nucleotides. Lineage: Eukaryota; Metazoa; Chordata; Actinopteri; Cypriniformes; Cyprinidae. The record is from Ensembl.
UGUUGCAGAAGCGACACACUUCAACUUUAAGUUGAUUGAAUUUCUUAAUGUGAAAAAUGACAGAAAUUAGUUUACUGUUGAUGUAUUAAACUGAUAAAUACAUUCUUUUUCAGAUGUCAUUGUAAGCUGUGAGAAUGUGACUGUAUCUGUGGGGAAAGAAGUAACUCACCUGCAGCAUCUCUCUGCUGCUCACUGAAUGCUGCAUUACACGGUAUAAGUUUCAAUACCCUGAGAGCAUUUAUGACGCCGCAGUCUGUCAUCAAGUUUUUCCUGUGAACAGAGGAACAGCUUCACAUGCCGCUAAACUCCAACUACAGCAAUGACAGAACAAUUCAGAUUCUUUAUGCAAACAAAGUGUGGAGCGAAAAUAACAGAAUUCACUGUGGACAUAACAGAAUCCAUGAAGCAUAAACCUGACACUGAAGCUCCUGGCAAGAAAGAGAUAUCUUUAAUGUCAAGCUCCAGAAAUAAAUGACUGCAAUGAAUAUUUAAGGAUGCUUCAAGUCCAAGAAAGUGUUACUGAUUAUGGGUAUUGUAACUGAGGCCAUCGUCAUCACUGCAGUAAGCUGUUUCAUCAUCAUCAUCGUUACUGCAAUCAUCUGUGUGAAGAGGUUCAUAAGUACCAACCCUUCUGGAUUACAGAAGAAAUAUGAAAGAGGUGUUUCUGAAGAACAAACAGUGAUGACAACCAAUGUUUAGAAAGAAACACUAUGAAAACAGCAAAUUGUGUUUAAUCUUUCAUGUAAACAUCAUAGACGUGAUAAUGUCCUGUUUAACUAAAUAUGCUGAACUGUAAAAUUCACAUACAGUGUCGGAAACAAUGAUUGAUCAAUAUAUUGGUCAAACUAAUGAAUCAGCCAAUAUUUGGCUAUGCGGAGAAUAUAUCUGCAUCAGAUAAUAAUUCUGCCCUUGUGUUUUCAAAGACUUUAAUGUAUUUUAAGUAAAUAUUGUGUAAACUAAGUGUUUUUUUAGCAUUUUUGAGCAUCAUAUAGCUGCAUUGCAUAUGCCAUUGCAUUGACCUAUUGUAUUUGCAUUAUCAUUUUUUAUUUAUUAAAUUGCUGUUAAAUUAUGAAAGUGUCAUGAUACUCUAAAAAUGGUCUAAAAUCUAUUUUUAUCAUUUUUAAUAAACUUGUCAUCAGUGAAGAGUAAGAAUAAAUCUAAUUUGUGGUAAAUGGUAAAGUCUGUUCUGGUGUAAGAUGAAUAUAAUACUGUUGCAAUUAAUUCAUCUACCAGCAGAGAGCAUGUCCUGAUAUGAUGAAAUCAACUCUCUUUGACCAAAAUGAAUGUCACAUGAAAUCAUUUUUUAAACAGCACCUGAAUGUACAUAAACGCAUCUUGUGUCUUGUUCUGAGGUGAAUAUAUGCUUCAUUUAGUUGUUGAUUGAGUGUCAUUUAGUGACUCUUGGUGGAGGAUUGCUGCUAGUUUAUUAUUCCCAAUGAUAACAAAACUAAUUUUGUUAUAAACUGAAAGUAAAGAAAACACUAUUAUGUUUUUAUUUCUUUGAAGUUUCUUUAUUUUUUCACUUUGGUCCUGGUCUUUCAUAUGUGCUUCACUUGUAAAAGUUUGUGUAGACUUUCUUUUUCUUCUAUAA